This 340-nucleotide ribosomal RNA is filed under the name Arctosa laminata. RNAcentral's name for it is "partial 16S ribosomal RNA". The stretch from base 60 to 340 matches the Rfam family "Bacterial large subunit ribosomal RNA", at positions 2085 to 2636 of the family's 2925-position model. Lineage: Eukaryota; Metazoa; Arthropoda; Arachnida; Araneae; Lycosidae. The record is from RNAcentral.
UAUUCUUCCUUUAAAAUCAUUUAAAUUAUCUUAAUUGUAAAAAGACAAUUCUAUUAUAGAAGACCCUAUCGAACUUUACUUUAGUUUAACUGGGGUAGUUAGUUAAUUAUUACUUUAAUAUUAUUAAAUAUUCAAUUUGACCUAAUAUAAUUAAAAAUAUAAUUAAGUUACCGUAGGGAUAACAGCGUAAUAAAAUUUUUAAGAAUUCAUUUAAAAUAAAGAUUGCGACCUCGAUGUUGAUUUAAUAUCCUGAUAUAACACAAUAGUUAAUUAAGGAAGUCUGUUCGACUUUUAAAAAAUUACAUGAUUUGAGUUCAGACCGGUGUAAACCAGGUCAAGC